UCUGAGCUCAAAGUCAUUCUUGCUGAAGAAGCCCAUUCAGAAUCUGACAGGGUCUGUUGGAUUUGCUGGGGAGCCAAGGGAUGGAUACUCUCCCGAAAGUGCUUUUAGGUGCUCUGUUGUGGCGAUUGGCUUGUGUGAGAAGCCAAGAAGUGCAGCAGAGUCCUCAGUCCUUGAUCAUUCAAGAGGGGGAAGAGGUUACCAUCGAGUGUAAAUCCUCUCAGCCUUCGUAUUCCCUGCACUGGUACUGGCAGAAGCAAGGUGAAGGUCCCAUCUUCUUGAUGAUAUUAAGAAAAACUGGAGAAGAGAGUCAUGACAAAAUAACUGCCACAUUGGAUGAAAAAAAGCAGCAGAGCUCCCUGUACAUCACAGCCUCCCAGCCCAGUCACUCAGGCACCUACUUCUGUGCAGUAGCAGCACAGUGAUGCUCAGGCCUCCGAAGGCUGUACUCAAACCUGAAGCUGGGCCACAGAUGCUUUCUUAGCACAGGGCACCCUUAGGGCACUUACCAGAAGGCUCACCUAUGAAAAAAGAGAAAUCU
Myotis davidii is the source of this 538-nucleotide non-coding RNA. Lineage: Eukaryota; Metazoa; Chordata; Mammalia; Chiroptera; Vespertilionidae. The record is from the annotation of a RefSeq genome assembly.